ACUCCAUCGGGUGGUUUCACAUGUCCGUGAGUGAUUGGGUAAAUCUUCUUCCAGGAUUCACAUGUUGAGGAGUUAGUGGUGGAUUGUGCAUACAAACUCAGUACACAUAAUUCUAUUUCCGGAGGUAAACUCAGAGGUACUGUGCCCAGAUGGGGUCUGGCACCUCCGCAUACAUAACAAUUAGUCUUAUUGUGUGAGUUGGCGUUGUACCUCAUCCAUUCUAGCCAUAAAUUGGUAUCUGAAAACCCUGUUUCUACUGCCAUGGUAUCUUCAAAGGUGGGGUUAGCUAUGGCUACCAUGUCAUGUAGGGUUUUGAUGUGUGGUUUCAAUGGGUUAAUGACCAUAUGUGUGGUUCCCACCCAAUCAGAGGAAUUUAGCAUAUCUUGCAAGUAAAAGGUCCCUAAUGCGUUGUGUGAGCCACCUCCCUUCCAGUACAUUCCCAUCACAUACUCCCCUGCAUCCCUUGGACUAGGGUGUUCUAUGUUUAAGGUGAGUUUAAUGGGAGUUGACCCUAUGGGUUUACUCAGGGUCAUUCUAGAGAGCAAGGGUUUCUCGUCUUUGUCAAGCUUGUCUAAUGCAACUUGGGGUCUGUAGCCCCAUGGUCUACCUGUGUUCCACCCGGCAGCUUUCCAUGAACUACAAUGGUGUCCCCAACCUUCGCCAGUCACACAAAUGUAUGGAUCCUUUUUGUUAGGUAUGUCCUUAUAUACAGCUGCAUGUUGUGUUUGUGGAAAU
This is a non-coding RNA of Pelobates cultripes (western spadefoot toad), 735 nucleotides long. The record is from the annotation of a GenBank genome assembly. NCBI's taxonomy places the organism in Eukaryota, Metazoa, Chordata, Amphibia, Anura, Pelobatidae.